AACGAACGCUGGCGGCAGGCCUAACACAUGCAAGUCGAACGCUCGUAGCAAUACGAGAGUGGCAGACGGGUGAGUAACACGUGGGAACCUUCCCUAUGGUUCGGAAUAGCUCAGGGAAACUUGAGGUAAUACCGGAUAAGCCCUUACGGGGAAAGAUUUAUCGCCAUUGGAUGGGCCCGCGUCGGAUUAGCUAGUUGGUGAGGUAACGGCUCACCAAGGCGACGAUCCGUAGCUGGUCUGAGAGGAUGAUCAGCCACACUGGGACUGAGACACGGCCCAGACUCCUACGGGAGGCAGCAGUGGGAAUAUUGGACAAUGGGCGCAAGCCUGAUCCAGCCAUGCCGCGUGAGUGACGAAGGCCUUAGGGUUGUAAAGCUCUUUGGCGGGAAGAUAAUGACGGUACCCGCAGAAUAAGCUCCGGCUAACUUCGUGCCAGCAGCCGCGGUAAU
Molecule: ribosomal RNA, 449 nt
Filed under: uncultured bacterium
Lineage: Bacteria
Description: bacterial SSU rRNA
Rfam family: Bacterial small subunit ribosomal RNA
Source: RNAcentral